Molecule: ribosomal RNA, 467 nt
Filed under: uncultured bacterium
Lineage: Bacteria
Description: partial 16S ribosomal RNA
Rfam family: Bacterial small subunit ribosomal RNA
Source: RNAcentral
GACGAACGCUGGUGGCGUGCUUAACACAUGCAAGUCGAACGGAAAGGCCCUGCUUUUGUGGGGUGCUCGAGUGGCGAACGGGUGAGUAACACGUGAGUAACCUGCCCUUGACUUUGGGAUAACUUCAGGAAACUGGGGCUAAUACCGGAUAGGAGCUCCUGCUGCAUGGUGGGGGUUGGAAAGUUUCGGCGGUUGGGGAUGGACUCGCGGCUUAUCAGCUUGUUGGUGGGGUAGUGGCUUACCAAGGCUUUGACGGGUAGCCGGCCUGAGAGGGUGACCGGCAACAUUGGGACUGAGAUACGGCCCAGACUCCUACGGGAGGCAGCAGUGGGGAAUAUUGCACAAUGGGCGGAAGCCUGAUGCAGCAACGCCGCGUGCGGGAUGACGGCCUUCGGGUUGUAAACCGCUUUCGCCUGUGACGAAGCGUGAGUGACGGUAAUGGGUAAAGAAGCACCGGCUAACUACGU